Molecule: transfer RNA, 75 nt
Filed under: Dongia soli
Lineage: Bacteria; Pseudomonadati; Pseudomonadota; Alphaproteobacteria; Rhodospirillales; Dongiaceae
Also listed under: 6 other names
Description: tRNA-Lys
Rfam family: tRNA
About the family: Transfer RNA (tRNA) molecules are approximately 80 nucleotides in length. Their secondary structure includes four short double-helical elements and three loops (D, anti-codon, and T loops).
Source: RNAcentral
GGGCCGGUAGCUCAGUGGUAGAGCAACUGACUUUUAAUCAGUAGGUCGCGGGUUCGAACCCCGCCCGGCUCACCA